GAUAACCUCGGGAAACCUGGGUAUAAUACCCGAUAGGUCUCGAUUGCUGGAAUGCAUCGAGAUUUAAAGCUCCGGCGCCUAAGGAUGGGUCUGCGGCCUAUCAGGUAGUAGUGGGUGUAGCGUACCUACUAGCCUACGACGGGUACGGGUUGUGAGAGCAAGAGCCCGGAGAUGGAUUCUGAGACACGAAUCCAGGCCCUACGGGGUGCAGCAGGCGCGAAAACUUUACAAUGCUGGCAACAGCGAUAAGGGAACCUCGAGUGCCAGGUUACAAAUCUGGCUGUCGAGAUGCCUAAAAAGCAUUUCAUAGCAAGGGCCGGGCAAGACCGGUGCCAGCCGCCGCGGUAACACCGGCGGCUCGAGUGGUAACCGUUAUUAUUGGGUCUAAAGGGUCUGUAGCCGGCCGGAUAAGUCUCUUGAGAAAUCUGGCAGCUUAACUGUCAGGCUCUCAGGAGAUACUGUCUGGCUCGAGGCCGGGAGAGGUGAGAGGUACUUCAGGGGUAGGGGUGAAAUCUUGUAAUCCUUGAAGGACCACCAGUGGCGAAGGCGUCUCACCAGAACGGACCUGACGGCAAGGGACGAAAGCUAGGGGCACGAACCGGAUUAGAUACCCGGGUAGUCCUAGCCGUAAACGAUACUCGCUAGGUGUCGGCCACGGUGCGACCGUUGUCGGUGCCGUAGGGAAGCCGUGAAGCGAGCCACCUGGGAAGUACGGCCGCAAGGCUGAACUUAAAGGAAUUGGCGGGGGAGCACCACAACGGGUGGAGCUUGCGGUUUAAUUGGAUUCAACGCCGGAAUCUUACCGGGACCGACAGCAAUAUGAAGCCAGGCUGAAGACUUUGCCGGAUUAGCUGAGAGGUGUGCAU
Molecule: ribosomal RNA, 866 nt
Filed under: uncultured archaeon
Lineage: Archaea
Description: bacterial SSU rRNA
Rfam family: Archaeal small subunit ribosomal RNA
Source: RNAcentral